This 497-nucleotide ribosomal RNA is filed under the name uncultured bacterium. RNAcentral describes it as "partial 16S ribosomal RNA". It matches the Rfam family "Bacterial small subunit ribosomal RNA", at positions 28 to 507 of the family's 1533-position model. The record is from RNAcentral.
GAUGAACGCUGGCGGCGUGCCUAAUACAUGCAAGUCGAGCGAACGGACGAGAAGCUUGCUUUUCUGAUGUUAGCGGCGGACGGGUGAGUAACACGUGGAUAACCUACCUAUAAGACUGGGAUAACUUCGGGAAACCUGAGCUAAUACCGGAUAAUAUUUUGAACCGCAUGGUUCAAAAGUGAAAGGCGGCCAUGCUGUUACUUAUAGAUUGAUCCGCGCUGCAUUAGCUAGUUGGUAAGGUAACGGCUUACCAAGGCAACGAUGCAUAGCCGACCUGAGAGGGUGAUCGGCCACACUGGAACUGAGACACGGUCCAGACUCCUACGGGAGGCAGCAGUAGGGAAUCUUCCGCAAUGGGCGAAAGCCUGACGGAGCAACGCCGCGUGAGUGCUGAAGGUCUUCGGAUCGUAAAACUCUGUUAUUAGGGAAGAACAUAUGUGUAAGUAACUGUGCACAUCUUGACGGUACCUAAUCAGAAAGCCACGGCUAACUACGUG